GGGCCCUUAGCUCAGUCGGUAGAGCAUCUCCCUUUUAAGGAGGGUGUCGGUGGUUCGAGUCCACCAGGGCUCACCA
This 76-nucleotide transfer RNA is filed under the name Acidobacteriota bacterium. RNAcentral's name for it is "Acidobacteria bacterium (activated sludge metagenome) tRNA-Lys". It matches the Rfam family "tRNA". Rfam says of the family: Transfer RNA (tRNA) molecules are approximately 80 nucleotides in length. Their secondary structure includes four short double-helical elements and three loops (D, anti-codon, and T loops). The record is from RNAcentral. Lineage: Bacteria; Pseudomonadati; Acidobacteriota.